CGCACCUUCGGCGUAGGAGUUCGGAGAUUGCAUUGUCGCCUGCUUAAACCCUCCUCUGCUGCUUCCACCGAAAGAUGUGAGAGAUCUGCUGUUCUUGUCCUCUUGGCCAUUCUAUUACGUGCCAUCAACCACACUGAGCAGGCAGGUGGGGAGACAGUUGUGAGCUCCCCAGAGCGCCAGGAUGCUAGACUUUCCGCGUCCUGACGAAGCCUAAGAGGAUCUCUUGCUGUUCACUAUAAUCCUUUUGUGAAUUCUUUUAUAAUCUCCACGAGACAGGAGUUUAGAUGAAUGAUCAGCCGGCUCCGCUGACGGUAAUUCCAAAGACUGCUCGCUAGGCUUGGUUUAUCAAGUUGAUCUCUUUAAGCUUAAUGCAUCGAAUGCAUAUUUCCUUAAAGGGACCAUUUUUGUGAGGUUCAAGAGUACACCCAAGGUGCAGGCACCGAUCUAUUAAAACAGUCGAAAUUUCGAAAGCAGUUGCUUUAAAGACAAAACUUUACCAGGUUUAACUUGAGGGUAUUAAGUUGGAUGUAUCACUAUUGAUU
Molecule: long non-coding RNA, 542 nt
Filed under: Coccomyxa subellipsoidea
Lineage: Eukaryota; Viridiplantae; Chlorophyta; Trebouxiophyceae; Coccomyxaceae
Description: long non-coding RNA (CSUB_LNC000070)
Source: RNAcentral